RNAcentral lists this transfer RNA (72 nucleotides) under Streptomyces sp. G1. RNAcentral describes it as "tRNA-Gln". It matches the Rfam family "tRNA". From Rfam's summary of the family: Transfer RNA (tRNA) molecules are approximately 80 nucleotides in length. Their secondary structure includes four short double-helical elements and three loops (D, anti-codon, and T loops). Further hydrogen bonds mediate the characteristic L-shaped molecular structure. tRNAs have two regions of fundamental functional importance: the anti-codon, which is responsible for specific mRNA codon recognition, and the 3' end, to which the tRNAs corresponding amino acid is attached (by aminoacyl-tRNA synthetases). tRNAs cope with the degeneracy of the genetic code in two manners: having more than one tRNA (with a specific anti-codon) for a particular amino acid; and 'wobble' base-pairing, i.e. permitting non-standard base-pairing at the 3rd anti-codon position. RNAcentral also lists the same sequence under 99 other names. The record is from RNAcentral. Lineage: Bacteria; Bacillati; Actinomycetota; Actinomycetes; Kitasatosporales; Streptomycetaceae.
UGGGCUAUAGUGUAAUUGGCAACACGAGAGUUUCUGGUUCUCUUAUUCUAGGUUCGAGUCCUGGUAGCCCAG